Molecule: ribosomal RNA, 253 nt
Filed under: uncultured bacterium
Lineage: Bacteria
Description: partial 16S ribosomal RNA
Rfam family: Bacterial small subunit ribosomal RNA
Source: RNAcentral
UACGGAGGGGGUUAGCGUUGUUCGGAAUUACUGGGCGUAAAGCGUACGUAGGCGGAUUAGUAAGUUGGGGGUGAAAUCCCGGGGCUCAACCCCGGAACUGCCUCCAAAACUACUAGUCUUGAGAUCGUGAGAGGUGAGUGGAAUUCCGAGUGUAGAGGUGAAAGUCGUAGAUAUUCGGAGGAACGUCGGUGGCGAAGGCAGCUCACUGGCGCGAUACUGACGCUGAGGUACGAAAGUGUGGGGAGCAAACAGG